Sceloporus undulatus (fence lizard) is the source of this 847-nucleotide long non-coding RNA. RefSeq lists it as uncharacterized. The transcript is spliced from 3 exons. NCBI's taxonomy places the organism in Eukaryota, Metazoa, Chordata, Lepidosauria, Squamata, Phrynosomatidae. The record is from RefSeq and is a predicted model, not a curated record.
AGCCAGAAGCCAUGAUGCUGAGUCCACUUUCUCUGCAAUUUUCCCUCUGGUCUGGACUUCUGGACUCUGCUGGUAAUGCAAAUACCUCAUGCAUUGUAACUUUGGGAUUCAUCACACUAGCACCACCGAUGCUGGGAAGAAUCACUCCUCUCUUAAGGUUCCCUAAAGAAAUACAAAGAAUGGCCAUGAGGAGAGAAAAAGAAGCAUUGGUCAUCCACCCACAGAAGGGGAAAAGUCCACAGGGAGAGGCGCGCACAAAAUAAUAAUAAUAAUAAUAAUUGGAAUGGAUGGUGACGCAGCGAGUCAUGGAGGUGGAGGUUGUAGUCCAACAUAUCUGGAGGGUAUCAGAUCAGUGAAACCUGUUUAUGCCACGCAUCCAGGCCCUGACUUCUUCAAAAUGAAAAUAAUCUGCACCAUAGUGAAGAUGGUUUCAUUCUUUGGACUUAGAAACAGCAUUAUGGCUACCAGAAGAAGCAGAAAAGAAAACUCAGGGGGGGAAAACCACUGUUUUAGAGAAAGAAAUCAGAAAAAAAACACAUCAUUGUAAUGUAAAGGUGAAUUCAUAUGCUGGGAAAAUCAGCUAAAGCAAAUUGGAUUUCUUUGAAAGUGCAGAAUUAUCCAAAGCUAGUCUAGCUGUCCUGAAUCCACACUGAUUUAUGUAUUACUUCAUCCCAGUAAUUAAAAUAUUAUUGAAAAAUGCCAACACAGCAGAUUUAUUCCUCUAAUCAGAAUCACUGUCUGAAAUAUCUAUAGCUCCAUUUCAUGAGCCUCAGAAAACAGAUGGUUGGCAUGAACCGAAAUGAGCUUUUCAACCUGCGUGAUUCCCUCAUCCCCAAAUCAUUUUUGU